ACUCUUCCUGGGCUUAGCAGAGGUCAUGUUCUUGCUUGUGCUUUCUGCUAAGUGAGACAAGACCUUCAUGCCUUCCUCUCCAGCUUCUCAGUAGAGGCAUGCAGAACAUACCCAAUGUCACAAACAAACCUCGAGUGGGCAAGCAAGAAGCCAGGAAUCAGAUGCUGGCUUGAAUCCAGAGGCUGAUGUGGGCCCAAAACCUGCCUGAAAAAUGGAACAAAGGGAAGACAUUGGCCUAAGAGAACACAAGAGAUGCUGCUAAGGUGAUAAUAGACUGAAAACCUGCAGUACCUGGAAGUACCUGGAAGUUCUUUUCUUCAGAAGUCAAAUCUGCCAAAGCCUUGCUUGGUUUUAGUUGUCCCAGCUUCCAGUAUUUUGAAAAAAUGGAUUUCUGCUGCUGUCUCUAAGAUUUGUUUUUGUUUUUUGUUUGUUUGUUUUAUGUGUUUUGUUUUUUAAUGCUAUUUCUGUUAUAGCAGUCACACUGGACUAAGUCAUAAGAAUGAAGAAUCAAUAUUUCUUGAAAAUCCAUAUCUGAGUUGGUAGUAACUUACCCAGCUUCACAUCGAUGUGUCAGAACGUGCCCUACUUAUUCGCCUCCUGCUCUCUCUUUUUCCCUGUCCCUCGCUAAGUGUUUGCCAGCCUGGUUGGAGGAACAACAUGUUUUCAAUUUUCAGCAUGCAAGUAUUGUUGUGCAAUAAAUUGUUCUUGUCUGUUGGUUUUUA
Molecule: long non-coding RNA, 722 nt
Organism: Mus musculus (house mouse)
Lineage: Eukaryota; Metazoa; Chordata; Mammalia; Rodentia; Muridae
Product: predicted gene, 35164
Exons: 3
Source: RefSeq, marked validated